This 236-nucleotide ribosomal RNA is filed under the name uncultured bacterium. RNAcentral describes it as "partial 16S ribosomal RNA". It matches the Rfam family "Bacterial small subunit ribosomal RNA", at positions 524 to 758 of the family's 1533-position model. The record is from RNAcentral.
UACGUAGGUGGCAAGCGUUGUCCGGAUUUAUUGGGCGUAAAGAGCUCGUAGGCGGUCUGUCGCGUCUGCUGUGAAAACUCAGGGCUUAACCCUGAGCUUGCAGUGGGUACGGGCAGACUAGAGUGCGGUAGGGGAGACUGGAAUUCCUGGUGUAGCGGUGAAAUGCGCAGAUAUCAGGAGGAACACCGGUGGCGAAGGCGGGUCUCUGGGCCGUAACUGACGCUGGAGGAGCGAAA